This 465-nucleotide ribosomal RNA is filed under the name uncultured bacterium. RNAcentral's name for it is "partial 16S ribosomal RNA". It matches the Rfam family "Bacterial small subunit ribosomal RNA", at positions 338 to 795 of the family's 1533-position model. The record is from RNAcentral.
CCUACGGGUGGCAGCAGUAGGGAAUCUUCCACAAUGGGCGAAAGCCUGAUGGAGCAACGCCGCGUGGGUGAAGAAGGUCUUCGGAUCGUUAAACCUCGUUGUUAGAGAAGAAAGGGCGUGAGAGUAACCGUUGAUGUUUCGACGGUAUCUAACCAGAACGCCACGGCUAACUCCGGGCCAGCAGCUGCGGCAAAACGUAGGAGGCAAGCGUUAUCCGGUUUUAUUGGGCGUAAAGGGAACGCAGGUGGUCUUUUAAGUCUGGUGUGAAAGCCCUCGGCUUAACCGGAGUAGUGCAUUGGAAACUGGGAGUCUUGAGUGCAGAAGAGGUAGGUGGAACUCGAGGUGUAGCGGUGAAAUGCGUAGAUAUCUGGAAGAACACCGAUGGCGAAGGCAGCAUUCUGGUCUGUAACUGACGCUGAGGUUCGAAAGCGUGGGUAGCAAACAGGAUUAGAUACCCGAGUAGUC